AAAGAAGAGGCGCGAAUUAUAAGAGUCGCUUUCAGGAGAACGAUCAGGUUCUGUGAAUGAAAGUUAAAGGGUAACUCGCCGAAGCUCAACGUGACUGAUAGCACGCGGAGCUGGGACCAGUCUUAAGAGGGCUGGGACUGUCGCAGUGAUGUGCUGCGGAGAGCUUCCU
RNAcentral lists this non-coding RNA (169 nucleotides) under Secundilactobacillus yichangensis. Its description in RNAcentral is "Lysine riboswitch". It matches the Rfam family "Lysine riboswitch aptamer". From Rfam's summary of the family: Riboswitches are metabolite binding domains within certain messenger RNAs that serve as precision sensors for their corresponding targets. Allosteric rearrangement of mRNA structure is mediated by ligand binding, and this results in modulation of gene expression. The record is from RNAcentral. Lineage: Bacteria; Bacillati; Bacillota; Bacilli; Lactobacillales; Lactobacillaceae.